UGCAUAUCCAAUAGCGGAGGAAAAGAAACCAACAGGGAUUGCCUCAGUAACGGCGAGUGAAGCGGCAAAAGCUCAAAUUUGAAAUCUAGCACCUUCGGUGUUCGAGUUGUAAUUUGAAGAUGGUAACCUUGGGUUUGGCUCUUGUCUAUGUUCCUUGGAACAGGACGUCAUAGAGGGUGAGAAUCCCGUCUGAUGAGAUGCCCAUUCCUAUGUAAGGUGCUAUCGAAGAGUCGAGUUGUUUGGGAAUGCAGCUCUAAGUGGGUGGUAAAUUCCAUCUAAAGCUAAAUAUUGGCGAGAGACCGAUAGCGAACAAGUACAGUGAUGGAAAGAUGAAAAGAACUUUGAAAAGAGAGUGAAAAAGUACGUGAAAUUGUUGAAAGGGAAGGGCAUUAGAUCAGACUUGGUGUUUUACGAUUAUCUUCUCUUCUUGAGUUGUGCACUCGUAUUUCACUGGGCCAGCAUCGAUUCGGAUGGCAAGAUAAUGGCAGUUGAAUGUGGCUUCACUUCGGUGGAGUGUUAUAGCUUCUGCUGAUAUUGCCUGUCUGGAUCGAGGGCUGCGUCUUUUGACUAGGAUGCUGGCGUAAUGAUCUAAUGCCGCCCGUCUUG
This 606-nucleotide ribosomal RNA is filed under the name Hansenula anomala. Its description in RNAcentral is "eukaryotic LSU rRNA". It matches the Rfam family "Eukaryotic large subunit ribosomal RNA", at positions 37 to 656 of the family's 3401-position model. Lineage: Eukaryota; Fungi; Ascomycota; Saccharomycetes; Phaffomycetales; Wickerhamomycetaceae. The record is from RNAcentral.